This is a long non-coding RNA of Arvicola amphibius (Eurasian water vole), 813 nucleotides long. RefSeq lists it as uncharacterized. The record is from RefSeq and is a predicted model, not a curated record. Lineage: Eukaryota; Metazoa; Chordata; Mammalia; Rodentia; Cricetidae. The transcript has 3 exons.
GAGAAUCACAGCGGUGCAACUCUGGAAGCAAGAAGACAAAGCAAUAGGUAAGGUCAAGAGACUGAAAGAAUGUGUCAUAUGGCAGUGUCCUCCAAGAUUGAAACACUCCAUCCUGUUGGGAAGCUCGACGAGAAAGAAGCUAUUUUCCUGGACCAGCUCUCUUCUCCAUAGUCGACAGUGUCUCUGGUGAGGAGGUGGCAUCUGGAAGUAGUCUACAAAGCAAGACUUCAGACCCAGGGUGAAAUCGAUGAGGAAGUCUCCGUUUCCAGAGGGCAGCUUGCCAGCUACAAUGGAAUGGCUGAAGUUGGGAGGCCACACAGGAAAGGCUCAGAAAGACAGGCGCUCCCCACCAAAGUGUUCUCACGCGAAACCUUAAUAAUUAAAAGAUCUUGGCAGAAAUCCCAGUGAGCUCAUGAGACAGGAGAGGUCCCAGCCCUGCCUGAUAGCUCUGGAAUGGAAAUGUCUCCUGCAGAGACUGAAGACCAGAAACCUGUACCUAUUUCCAGGGGCAAAAAUGAAGUUUGUCAUGGACUGUCUUUUCCCAAACAGAAAAUUCCCACUCUGUUACUUACUAACUGGGCAACCUCAGGUAAAUCACAGAAGCUUUUUGAACCACAAUAAAUAAUAGCUAACAAUAUCAUCAUUAUUGAAAAAUAACUGCCUCCUUAUAGGAUAAUUUAUAACUAAUCAUUAUGCCAUAGCACCAGGGUAGAUAGACUGUCUGCAGAGACCAAUGGGAAAUAUGUUAAACAUUGUGAAUCAGGAAGUAUAUUAUGUUUGCAAUGUGUUUAUAAUAUGCUAUAUGUAUAGAAA